AUGGCUCAGCAUGAACGCUAGCGACAGGCCUAACACAUGCAAGUCGAGGGGCAUCGGGGCGAGGAGCAAUCCUUGCCGCCGGCGACCGGCGCACGGGUGAGUAACGCGUAUGCGACCUGCCCGUUGCAGGGGGAUAAUCGGGAGAAAUCCCGUCUAAUACCGCGUAAUGCCGCGGGGCUGCAUGGCCCUGCGGCCAAAGGGAGCGAUUCCGGCAACGGAUGGGCAUGCGUGACAUUAGCUAGUUGGCGGGGCAACGGCCCACCAAGGCGACGAUGUCUAGGGGUUCUGAGAGGAAGGUCCCCCACACUGGUACUGAGACACGGACCAGACUCCUACGGGAGGCAGCAGUGAGGAAUAUUGGUCAAUGGGCGCGAGCCUGAACCAGCCAAGUCGCGUGAGGGAUGACGGCCCUACGGGUUGUAAACCUCUUUUGUCGGGGAGCAAAUUCCGCCACGUGUGGCGGAGUCGAGAGUACCCGAAGAAAAAGCAUCGGCUAACUCCGUGCCAGCAGCCGCGGUAAUACGGAGGAUGCGAGCGUUAUCCGGAUUUAUUGGGUUUAAAGGGUGCGUAGGCGGACUGUCAAGUCAGCGGUAAAACACGGGGGCUCAACCUCCGCCCGCCGUUGAAACUGACGGUCUUGAGUGGGCGAGAAGUAUGCGGAAUGCGUGGUGUAGCGGUGAAAUGCAUAGAUAUCACGCAGAACUCCGAUUGCGAAGGCAGCAUACCGGCGCCCGACUGACGCUGAAGCACGAAAGCGUGGGUAUCGAGCAGGAUUAGAUACCCUGGUAGUCCACGCAGUAAACGAUGAAUACUAGCUGUCCGGGGCGAAUGAGCCCUGGGUGGCACAGCGAAAGCGUUAAGUAUUCCACCUGGGGAGUACGCCGGCAACGGUGAAACUCAAAGGAAUUGACGGGGGCCCGCACAAGCGGAGGAACAUGUGGUUUAAUUCGAUGAUACGCGAGGAACCCUACCCGGGCUCAAACGACACAGGAACGUACCUGAAAGGGUUCGGCUCUACGGAGCCUGUGUCGAGGUGCUGCAUGGUUGUCGUCAGCUCGUGCCGUGAGGUGUCGGCUUAAGUGCCAUAACGAGCGCAACCCCCAUCGACAGUUGCUAACAGGUCAGGCUGAGGACUCUGUCGAGACUGCCGGCGCAAGCUGCGAGGAAGGCGGGGAUGACGUCAAAUCAGCACGGCCCUUACGUCCGGGGCGACACACGUGUUACAAUGGCAGGUACAGCGGGAAGCCACCUGGCGACAGGGAGCGGAACCCGAAAGCCUGUCUCAGUUCGGAUUGGAGUCUGCAACCCGGCUCCAUGAAGCUGGAUUCGCUAGUAAUCGCGCAUCAGCCACGGCGCGGUGAAUACGUUCCCGGGCCUUGUACACACCGCCCGUCAAGCCAUGGAAGCCGGGGGUGCCUGAAGUGCGCUGCCGCGAGGAGCGCCCUAGGGUAAAACCGGUGACUGGGGCUAAGUCGUAACAAGGUA
This 1485-nucleotide ribosomal RNA is filed under the name uncultured bacterium. Its description in RNAcentral is "partial 16S ribosomal RNA". It matches the Rfam family "Bacterial small subunit ribosomal RNA". The record is from RNAcentral.